CAUUCAUCUCCAAGGUGAGGAAUGUGGCGCCUGCAGCCUGACAGGUCAGACCCGAGGACCAGCAGGGCAGAAGAACCAGAACCUUCCUCAGAAAUGUCCCCGAUGAGAGACCCAGAACGUCUUCAGGUGUGAGCUUUCCCUGACCAGCAGAUGAUCAGAACCAGCUGAGGUCAGGAGAACCGGAACCACAGUGAUACUGUCAGAUAUGAAACAGGAGAUGUUCCUGACUCGGACUCUGGUGGAAACCAAGUUUAUCUAAGAACACAGGCCUGAUGGGUCAGACCCGGAACCUGCUGUCUGAGGCGCGGGAAAACCAGCAGUUCCCCAGGAGGCAGAAACCGGAACCACGUCUCCAUCCGCUCCGUUCUCAAGCAUUUAACGGAUCCAAAUGGUGCCGUUUGCGGGUCAGAAACCAGAAACCGUUCUUCACCUGAGGAACGCCUGCUGUUCCAGACCGGAACCGACUGGUCCAAUUAAAGGAUCUCAGGAAUCAA
Oryzias melastigma (Indian medaka) is the source of this 494-nucleotide long non-coding RNA. RefSeq lists it as uncharacterized. NCBI's taxonomy places the organism in Eukaryota, Metazoa, Chordata, Actinopteri, Beloniformes, Adrianichthyidae. The record is from RefSeq and is a predicted model, not a curated record. The transcript has 2 exons.